AUUGAACGCUGGCGGCAGGCCUAACACAUGCAAGUCGAGCGGUAGAGAGAAGCUUGCUUCUCUUGAGAGCGGCGGACGGGUGAGUAAUGCCUAGGAAUCUGCCUGGUAGUGGGGGAUAACGUUCGGAAACGGACGCUAAUACCGCAUACGUCCUAUGGGAGAAAGCAGGGGACCUUCGGGCCUUGCGCUAUCAGAUGAGCCUAGGUCGGAUUAGCUAGUUGGUGGGGUAAUGGCUCACCAAGGCGACGAUCCGUAACUGGUCUGAGAGGAUGAUCAGUCACACUGGAACUGAGACACGGUCCAGACUCCUACGGGAGGCAGCAGUGGGGAAUAUUGGACAAUGGGCGAAAGCCUGAUCCAGCCAUGCCGCGUGUGUGAAGAAGGUCUUCGGAUUGUAAAGCACUUUAAGUUGGGAGGAAGGGCAGUAAAUUAAUACUUUGCUGUUUUGACGUUACCGACAGAAUAAGCACCGGCUAACUCUGUG
This 484-nucleotide ribosomal RNA is filed under the name uncultured bacterium. Its description in RNAcentral is "partial 16S ribosomal RNA". It matches the Rfam family "Bacterial small subunit ribosomal RNA", at positions 30 to 507 of the family's 1533-position model. The record is from RNAcentral.